GCGGGUAUGGUAUAGUGGCUAUUACACCAGCUUGCCAUGCUGGAGAGACGGGUUCGAUUCCCGUUACCCGCU
The sequence is a transfer RNA, 72 nucleotides long. It matches the Rfam family "tRNA". Rfam says of the family: Transfer RNA (tRNA) molecules are approximately 80 nucleotides in length. Their secondary structure includes four short double-helical elements and three loops (D, anti-codon, and T loops). Further hydrogen bonds mediate the characteristic L-shaped molecular structure. tRNAs have two regions of fundamental functional importance: the anti-codon, which is responsible for specific mRNA codon recognition, and the 3' end, to which the tRNAs corresponding amino acid is attached (by aminoacyl-tRNA synthetases). tRNAs cope with the degeneracy of the genetic code in two manners: having more than one tRNA (with a specific anti-codon) for a particular amino acid; and 'wobble' base-pairing, i.e. permitting non-standard base-pairing at the 3rd anti-codon position.